UUGUUUUUUUUUUUUUUUUUUUUUUUUUUUUUUUUUUUUUUUUUUUGUUGUUGUUUUUUUUUUUUUUUUUUUUUUUUUUUUUUUUUUUUUUUUUUUUUUUUUUCCUUU
This is a long non-coding RNA of Tympanuchus pallidicinctus (lesser prairie-chicken), 108 nucleotides long. RefSeq lists it as uncharacterized. NCBI's taxonomy places the organism in Eukaryota, Metazoa, Chordata, Aves, Galliformes, Phasianidae. The transcript has 2 exons. The record is from RefSeq and is a predicted model, not a curated record.